This is a long non-coding RNA of Cuculus canorus (common cuckoo), 6208 nucleotides long. RefSeq lists it as uncharacterized. The transcript is spliced from 6 exons. Lineage: Eukaryota; Metazoa; Chordata; Aves; Cuculiformes; Cuculidae. The record is from RefSeq and is a predicted model, not a curated record.
GGACCGAGAGAGGCUUUCUGGUGUUAAUUUGUACCUGACUUUGUAAAUCUGGAAAACAUCAAAACAGGCAAAGAGUUUUGAGGCACUAUAAGCAUUUCCAAACAAAGAAUGAGAAGAGGAGGGUUUUCACCUGUUUAUCGCACCGGUGACCAUCUGCUUCACUGUGCUUACUCUGUGCUAAUGCAAAUAUGCCAAAAUAAAAUAAACCAAUUGUCAAGGGUCCAGUAUCUGUGGGACUAUACGGUCUCCCCAAGAAACUGUGAACAACUGGAAAGAACACCCUUUGCAGAAGAUGUAGCUGAUAUACACUUCAUUGUAUAAAGUCUGACACGCCUUCUAUAAUCUCCCAUGAGAUUGCGUUAGCAGUUCCAUUCAGGCUGGUGAUUAACAAAGAUCAAAGGAGUAAGUAACCAAUAAGACCCUAAAACCCUGGUUGUAGAAGAAUUGUGGUUCAACAGCUCCCACUCUUUCCAAUUAUUAGCUGUGGAUCAAUGUGGAUUAUCUUUUAACCAUGCCAGUGCUUCUCUCCAGAUAAUGCCCAGCUGGAGUAUUUGCAUUGGAUCUGUGCCCUGGCUCUGGACUUACAUAAGCAGAGCAGGCAGAGAUGAAAGUCACUGACAGCAAAGAACGGAACUCCUUUUCACGGAUGGGAUUACUCCAGAAAAAUGAAUACAUCAGAAGCUGACGUGUGCCGAAAUGGAGGCAAAGACAGAUUCAAGACAGAGCAUGAUUCUGAUAGCAUGGCACAUCCCUGUGAACACCAGUCCUGAAGUUGUAGCUUGAAACAUGUGCGAGUGACUGUAGGUGAUCCCCACCAAUAUCAUAGCUCUCUGCACAUCGUGCCUUUCUUCCAGUCCGAAGAUCCUCCGGCUGUCUCGCGUUCCCCAGUGAGGAAGUGAGUCUGUAUCUAUCACCACACUGUUACCAUUCUCUCUGUAGUUCUUCUGUCAAGAAUUUUCAGUGGGACAUUCCAUCAAAUGGUUUUUUUUUGUAAAUCCAUAGCGACUGGGUCUAAUGCAUUCCCCAGUCUAAGAAGUGAUUCAUCUUGUUAAAAGAUUUGCCUUUACUAAACCCCGGCCUUUGAUAAAACCUAUUUGUUGCCACGUACGGAGUGCUUUCCCUGAAAACUGUGUUAAGGUUGCUGGGUCAAGUGGCCUGUAUCAUUUUUUUCCCAGUCUUCUUUGAAUACAGAGAUGUGCAGAUUCUUGCUACUAAACCUUCGUUUUCAUGUGCCAAUUAUUUCAACAUCCUCAGAUGGAGAUGAUCCAGGCCCCCCGGGUUCAGUUCCACCAUAGCUGGAAAUGUUAGCUGUAAUAUAGAGCUCUACCUCCUCAAUUCCUUUUGCCACUCUUUCCUUCCUAAACUAUUUAGAACUAGCAAUUUUUACAUUCCGGUCAUGCGAAUAAACCCGCCAGGUUUCAGUCAUGCCAAUUAUAUUGUAUUUCUCAUAAUCCAGCAAAAAUUCCCAGUUCCUCUUGCUUUUAAUUAUAUCCUCACAAGGUGCUUCUCCCCGGUCUCUCUCUCUGGACAGGUGCCUACGGUGAAUCACAUAUGCUUAUUAUCACGCGGUGGUGGGGGAGAAGGGUGAUGUAGUACUGCUCUGGAUCUGUGAAAGUGUAUGGCAAGUUCUUGUGUUUCUAUGUUACAGAUUUAUUCAUUUCUGCAGGAUACACCUCUCUCAUUUUCUGGUUCCUUCUCAAAUGUGCAUUUAAUGUCCGUAUUUAUGGUGCAUUUUGAUGCAUCCCUACAUACCAAGUAAGUUCCGCUCUACCGUUUACUCCUUAAAGAGUGCUGAGGAAUGGGUGGUACAGAACAUAAAAAGAGCUACAGACCCUUUGCCCUCAAGAUAUAAUUUCAAGAAUACGAAACAAACCUAUGCAUACCCAUCCCUGAUCUCUCUGACUUGUAUGGAGCAUGGUGAGCAACGCGGAAAGGCUUGUUGUUUAAUUAAAAGGACAGCACUCCAAACACUCCUAGGCAGCUGCUUUUCCUUCUGAAUGUGGAUGUUAUUACUGAGGCUGUUCAUUAGCAACUAAACCAAGAUCUUGGUUCAUGAUUUUUUUCUAUUAAAAUCAAAGCAAACACGCUAUUGAACAAAAACUUGUGAUUGCUUCCCAGCUCUCAACCCCCUCUAGCUCUCAGGAUGUGCCACCUUAUCUACUCCGUGUGUUAACUUCUACGUGGCAUGUAUGUUCUUGAGUCACUUUACCACUGCUGAUAGCGCGUGGUUGGGAUCUUGUAAGGUGUCUGGCACUGACACAAGCACAAACCUGGACUGCAGGUGUGAAUUAAGAUACACACUCAAAGUCAAGUGCAAAAAGAAAUUAAACGAUAGAGAGCUUGGCUCUGAAAUGCUUGGCCACAGCCAAGGAAUUCAUGGCCCAAGAGGAGACAGCAAUUCGUGUGCCCUGUGCCGUGUGUGAGAGCAGAACAGGACCUGUGAGCUUGUGUGGAGCUCACAGGGUACGCUUCAGCUUCAUCCCCUUCUGGAGAUGAGGUAUGUUGCUCUUACAGAAAGUACCUCCACUUGUGUGGGAUCCAAAGCAUUCAACCCACUCUGAAAAAGAGAGCUUUCAUCUCCUUCUUGGCGGACUGGGAUUCAGCAUGCUUUGAGUCAGAAAUUGCGCUCAAUAAUUACAGUCCUCACCCACCAAUGACAUAUAUAUGCUAAAGUGGCUCCAUUGCCAGAGGGGACUCACAAUUCUAUUUCUCAGGUGCUAAAUGCUUUUCGGGUUCUUUAGCUGUCCUAGACAUGCUGGAUAAAAAUAAAUUCUACAUUCACAAAUUAUUUCAGAAAUAAUCACAGCAUUCAAUCUCUGUUAGAGACGUCGGUGAAACUAGAGUUCCUCAGCAAGAUGAAGGUCUGCUUCCCUAGUCUCUGCACAGAAUCUACAGCAUGCUUUUUGUACCUCUAUCUCUGGGAUCUCAAUACAAUCUCAAUACAAAUCUCAAUACAUUUCACAUAAGCAAUAAGAAGACGCUCAAAAUAUUUUUUUAUUGCAGCCUGAAUGUCAUUUUAAGGUGUCACUGAGUCCCAGCUCCUCCGGUCAACUGGAAUCCCUGCAAUCCCAUCCUUCCUUGCAGCAUCUGCCUUCUGGGAACCAGUCCUGGAGUGUCUACACUACCGGAUCUGUUAUGUUUCAGCUACACCAGUGCACAGAGCAGAAAGGUUUGACAGAGCCGUGACUGUAGGGAGAGAGACAUCAAAACCCUGGUGGCUCGAUAAAGAAUGUGGCUCACAGCCGGGAGCGUUAGGAGUCUCUGGAGUGUUUUGACAGCAUCACAGCCACAGAGAGUGUUACUGGCAUUCGUGUGUUCUUGGUGGGAUUUGUGUCGCUUAGCUUCAAACACCUUCAGUGAGGAAUCAGGGAUAGGUCAGGAGGUGUGGGAAUGCUGAUGACCAUAGAUUGUGGUGAUAUGUUCCACUGCCGGAGGUGUGAGCCGGUUGGGUGGCUACUGAAAGCACUUUGCCUGGAGGAAGGCUGUUGUUCCACUCAUUUUCAGUGAGCUAUUGGUAAAGCUUUAAGAAAGAUGUUAUGGAAAGUAUGGAGUGCAUUCAAGCUAGAGAUUUUGCCUAAUUUAAUACUGUGUCCUUAAUGGUAUUUCUGGAUGUUCUGCUGGAAUAAGUGUGCUUAACAGUGACUGUAUGACUUUGAUAUCUACGGGACUGCGGUCAGUAAAUGUGCUGUGGACAGUGCGAUGAGUCUGUGGGAUGGGUUACUCAGAGAUAUUGAGUGGUGGGGGUGUAUGUAUAAGCACAGUCACAGUGCUGUGGGACUGGGGUUCGUUGGUGCCUCCCUGCCUUCUAUUUUAUUAUUUUAUCUUGGAUGAAAUGAUCACCAGCCAGGCUGCAAAAGGCCAUGUUUGUGUACUGCCAUCCUGGUGUUACAAACCCAUAAGUCUGAAUGAAAACCUUUCAUGGUUAUCUUACGUUGACAUUCUUACAGACAAAUUUAGACUUGUGUUCGUGACAUCGUUCCUGUCCCUGACAGAAAUAAACCUAUGGUAAAUGCUGAAGGAGGUGGCUGGCUGUGCAAGCCAAUAUGUCCCUGUACCUGGAUGGAUUCUUUCCAAAGACCCCUGCCCUACAGGUUAUUUCGGGCGCAAUUGCAAUUAGAUGUCAGAACCUCCUUAACAACUCCCGGCCGCUGCCUUUUGUGCGCUCCAUGGAGCAGCUCCUGGAAGGGAAGCACUGACCACUCUCCGGCUGCAGUGCCCAUGAGGGUAGCACAUCCUGCUUAUCAGAGCUUCAGCUGCUUUUAGAGCACAGACCCUGCAUCAGCCAGCAGCUCGGCUUGGGGACCCUCUGCGUGCCCUCACACCAGUGGGUCGUGAUAAAAGCUGUUGUAGAGAAGAGGAGAGCCAUCAGAUUCAGACUCACUGCUAGCAGGGCUCUGCAUCUUCGAUUUGUCUUCAUGCAGUGAUGGAAAUGUUGCAGCCAGGCUCCCAUUCUUCUCCUCACUUGAAAUCCUGCCUUUGUACGUUAAAGGAGCAGCUGCGGGCUCGGGAGCGCGGCCGUAUUCUUGCAGUCGGUGUGCUUCAGUGCGCUGCCAGGAUCAGAGAGGGUCUGUCUCACAAAGAGCACCAAGAGCAAGUGAACAUCUGCUCGGGUACCACACAUGAUCCCAAGGGGCUCCGCAGCCUCCUCCGCUGGGAGACACCUGCAGGCUGUGGGACUCACUGUCCUCUAUUCCCGGAGGAUCAGGCAGGAGAAACUCAGUGGAAGGCAGGAGGAGGCAGAGACAGCUGCCAGCGGCUGCCACCGUCCUCGCAAACCUUGGGGACCACUGCAGCGCUGGCGGCCGAGGUGGACUGGAAGGCGGCGUCACGUCUUAGUCCCCAAAAGAAUCACUGUUUGGAGCUGCGAAAUACAUUUUUUUUUUCUGUACCAGAGGGCAGAGAUUGGUUCAGGAGGAAGAGGAAUGAAGAGGUACUUUAGCUUUUCUGUUCUGAGCUAGUGAGUAGCAAAUUCAGGGUCUGAUUCUGCUGUCAGCGUGCCAGCGUAAUUCUCUGUCUUCAGAGGCUUGCUCUGGCAGCCAGCAAAGCCCCAGAGGAAUUUAGAUUUGAAAGAAUAUAAUGAGUAAACCCCACAUUUUUCACAAUACCAAGUGGAGCUGCUUUCUCAGGCUUUCAGUUCCAGCCACAGCGCACACAGAUGUUCUCUUUGAAGUGGGUCUGUAGGACAUUUUGUAGGUCCCAGUUUGUGCAGAGAGAGAGAACUAAUUAGAGUAAACCCUGGCCUUUACUCGCCAGAUGGCAAUGCUCUGAGAGCAGGGAGCGCUGCACAAUAGCCCAUCUCCAAAGAGAAGUACAUUGUUCUGCCUUGUUGGUAGACUGACUCAUAGAGUUUACAAUUUCUUUCCAUAUUGCUCAGAGAUAUCUGGUGAAAACCGAGUGCCCUGAGGAGGCCACGGCACCUGAUGGUGGUGGUGGCACAACCUGUACGAGCUUGUAUCUGAGCACUAAGGUUGGCCACGUUUGUCAUGUAAUAGGUCUGUGUCCCUAGUGGAUGAAUGCAAUUUUCUGUGGUGAAGAAGUUGCACAAACCUCCUGGGCUUUGAUUUCAGUGAAAGUUCUUCCUAGCUUUGUUAGGUUUUCAUGCAAGAGCUGCGGAGAUGUUUGUGACCUUUCAGAGCAGCCCAGCGGUGGGAUUCCAGCAAGCCCUGGAGAUAAGCAUGCAGCUCCCAGGCUCCUGGCGGGCAGUGCUCUCGUCUCCCACCUGUACUCUGUUAGGACUCAACAUCCAAAGCUCAUCCUAUGCCUUACUGCCUGCGCACAUGAAAAGUGCUGGUAGUUCCCACAGCUCCUUGAAGAAACCAGGAAAGAUUGGGUGAAGCCUCUCCUCAGCAAGACACUACAAGACUUCAGGGACCUGUUGUGGCCUCUGUGGUGCUCUCCCUCUGUAUUACUCCUCUUGUGGUGCCUGUUCUACAUGCUGGGUUCCAACGGCUUAUGGGAUUUUUCACUAUUUAUACAGAUUCUCUUGGCUUUAGCCAUGUUGCUUGAAAAUUUGUUUAAAUAUAAACUAGAGAGUUACUAGAAGAUGCUGCUCCAUGAGGAAAAAUUGUGAUGGCAACUUUGCAAGAACUCUGUCCCAAAGAAGCCUGCAUUCCACAGCGAUGCUUCGCACUCCAAGCCCAAAGGUUGAGCUUUGCAAUCCUGUUUAUCUAAAAGAUGCUGCUGAGAGACGUUACUGGGUUGGUUUUUU